Molecule: ribosomal RNA, 1256 nt
Filed under: metagenome
Description: bacterial LSU rRNA
Rfam family: Bacterial large subunit ribosomal RNA
Source: RNAcentral
AAAAAACCGUGUGGCAAUCCAAAGGCGUGAUGCGGACCGAAUUAAAGUAGGGAAGUGUGUGAGCCAUGAAUCAAGAAAAGCCGCUAUUGUUUUUAAGAUACCCGUACCGUAAACCGACACAGGUGGAUGAGGAGAGAAUCCUAAGGCCGGCGGAAGAAGCAUUGUUAAGGAACUCGGCAAAAUGACCCCGUAACUUCGGGAGAAGGGGUGCCAACGAGAGUUGGCCGCAGAGAAUAGGCUCAAGCAACUGUUUAGCAAAAACACAGGUCUAUGCAAAACCGUAAGGUGAGGUAUAUGGGCUGACGCCUGCCCGGUGCUGGAAGGUUAAGAGGAGAGGUUAGCGCAAGCGAAGCUUUGAAUUUAAGCCCCAGUAAACGGCGGCCGUAACGAUAACGGUCCUAAGGUAGCGAAAUUCCUUGCCGGGUAAGUUCCGACCCGCACGAAAGGCGUAAUGAUUUGAGCGCUGUCUCGACAAUGCAUCCGGUGAAAUUGAAGUACCAGUGAAGAUGCUGGUUACCCGCGCCAGGACGGAAAGACCCCAUGGAGCUUUACUCCAGUUUGGUACUGGGGUCCGGCAGUGCAUGUACAGGAUAGGUGGGAGGCUGUGAACCUGGAACGCCAGUUUCAGGGGAGCCAUUGUUGGGAUACCACCCUUGUGCUGCUGGGCUUCUAACCAGCGGCCUUUAUCAGGCCGGGGGACAAUGCCAGACGGGGAGUUUGACUGGGGCGGUCGCCUCCGAAAGGGUAUCGGAGGCGCUCAAAGGUUCCCUCAGAAUGGUCGGAAACCAUUCGAAGAGUGCAAAGGCAGAAGGGAGCUUGACUGCGACACCGACGGGUGGAGCAGGUACGAAAGUAGGACUUAGUGAUCCGGUGGUAUUAAGUGGGAAUGCCAUCGUUCAACGGAUAAAAGCUACCCUGGGGAUAACAGGCUUAUCACUCCCAAGAGUUCACAUCGACGGAGUGGUUUGGCACCUCGAUGUCGGCUCAUCGCAUCCUGGGGCUGUAGUAGGUCCCAAGGGUUGGGCUGUUCGCCCAUUAAAGCGGUACGCGAGCUGGGUUCAGAACGUCGUGAGACAGUUCGGUCCCUAUCCGGCGUGGGCGUAGGAUAUUUGAGAGGAGCUGUCCUUAGUACGAGAGGACCGGGAUGGACUGACCUCUGGUGUACCGGUUGAACCGCCAGGUUCACGGCCGGGUAGCCAAGUCGGGAAGGGAUAAACGCUGAAGGCAUCUAAGCGUGAAGCCCCCCUCCAGAUGAG